RNAcentral lists this ribosomal RNA (253 nucleotides) under uncultured bacterium. Its description in RNAcentral is "partial 16S ribosomal RNA". It matches the Rfam family "Bacterial small subunit ribosomal RNA", at positions 524 to 776 of the family's 1533-position model. The record is from RNAcentral.
UACGUAGGGACCAAGCGUUGUUCGGAUUUACUGGGCGUAAAGGGCGCGUAGGCGGCAAUUCAAGUCAUCUGUGAAAUCUCCGGGCUUAACUCGGAACGGUCAGAUGAUACUGCUUUGCUAGAGUGCGGAAGGGGCAAUCGGAAUUCUUGGUGUAGCGGUGAAAUGCGUAGAUAUCAGGAGGAACACCGGUGGCGAAGGCGGCUACCUGGACAAUUGCUGACGCUCAGGCACGAAAGCGUGGGGAGCAAAAGGG